AGCAGGCGCAUCCCGGGCGGCGAAGGGACAGCGCCACGGCACCACUUCGUCUCUCCUAGGUCUUCUCGAUUUCCAGCACCGCUUCUCCUCGAGCACAUCUCCUUCUUCCUCAUGUGUUUGGCUGCGGCUAGAUCGCGAGUUUGGCUGCGGCUAGAUCGCGAACCUCGGAGCCUCAUGUCAGAGAGAGAUGGUGCGGCGGCAUGGGUUCUAGGGCCGCGACAACCGAGAACUCGGACAUAAGCAUCGAGCGGAGGACGCCGCCGACGGCCGUGGCGUGGGUGGGGUCCUCCUUCGUGCUGGUUUGGCCGACGCGCGACCUCGGAAGGGCCUGGGGUGGAGGCUACGUGGUUGGCAUGGAGGCGGGAUGGCGAGCAGGGAGAGGCAAGGAUGGAGGCGCUCGCGUCCACCACAGGCGACCAUCGGCGUCAGUGGCAAAAGGGUUAGUAACCAACUGUCAAGGCUCUGCCUUUUCCUCUCCUCUCUUUUACUUCUUAAGCUGUUCUGUCUCUCUUCUCUCAGCAGCGGACGGGAGGAUGCGGAGCUUUCACAGAACGGGACCAAGGGCGCGGCCAAACCGCCGCCAUGGCCACGCCUACGUCAGCUCUUUCUCUCUCUCAGCCGACGGCAGCAACGCAUCAAGACUUUGACCUCCGUACGCAUCAGGACUUCGACCUCCGUACGGUAGCGGUGGCAGUCAUUUGAUGGGUUCUGCUUCAGCUUGCCAGCGAGGGCACCAUCAGAAUUGAAGGCCUUCUCAAUUCACUGUGACUACUCGGAAAGCCAACUCCCAGAUUUUGUUCCGGUAGCUAGCAGCUUAUGUCUUGCAUCAGGUUGGACUUUGGACCUCCGGUACUGCAGACGGUGAGACAAAGAUCCGAGCUGCCGAGGUUGGUCUGGCUGCGGUGUUCAUGGUUGCCGCUCUACUGCGACUAGGCAUUGUGGAUGCAGCUAUACACACAUACAACAUGGAGCAAAAGGGUCACCGUCAUUGGGGUGCCGAAAUCUUUGAUUUAGGGCAGUUUGAUUCUUUAUGCAGGCAUGGUCUGUUCAGCCCUCAUGAAGGUUAGCUUUUCUUUGAAUUUUUUUCUCAAAUAUGUACUAAUAGCUAGAUAAAUUAUUUCCGUUUUACUACAACCAAAUUUAAGUGAUCAUCAUUCAUAUUUGGUAUAAGUUGCUGUAUAAAGAGGGCAUGGCCACAUGUGAGGUUCUCUCGGUCUGAUCUGUGACACCAGAGAUGGAGUCAUUGCAGAGCUUCAUACUAAUAAGUUAUAAGUUCUGCAGUUGUUUAAUUCUGAUUGCCUUCUGUUACUGAGUUAGGUUAAUCCCUAUCAGCAUAUUAUUGAUUUGGCAUGACAUGUCUUCCUGAUCUGCAGGUAUUCUUCAAAAUUUAUUUAUAUGCUUCUUUUCUUCCAGAUUUAUUGACAUGUUCCGUACCUUCGCUACUGUCAACUUUGCUGCCGACGCUUCUAGGCAUGACAGUUGCAUCUUUUUCUUAUCACGCUUUUCACAGGCCUUACCAAAUUGGUGUCUGCAUCCUUUGAUUUAGGUUAUCUUUAUGUGGAAAUCACAUCAACAAAAACAUCAGUGCAUAUUGUGUUUAGCUCAAAGUUUUAGGUUCCUCUUAUUGCAAGUUAUCGGUAGAUCAAUGUCUGUAAUCUAGGGACUGUUGGAUUUAGGGAAAUACCUCGGUUUUCUUGAUUCUUUUAUGCAAUGAAAAGACAUUCUUCUCUCCCUGAUUGUCGCUGCCCUGCUCGAGCUCUUCCCUCUCUGAUCCCCUUUUCUCGGAGGGUGAUUGUCUGCGAACAAAAAUCAGGAGGGUGCUGGUGGUGCAAAUUCCAAUCAGCACAGAUGUGGUGUGAUCGUCCAACGAGAACACGAGCUGAGAUGGUGUUCUCAAGGUAUUCACCGCGGUUUUUGUGGUACAGUUUUUUUAAUGAAAUGCUUGCAAAGUAGUUGCGACUUUCUUUUACUAAUAGUUUUUAGAUACCUACAAGGAAAUUUGUGUUCGAGCAGUUUAUUUUGGAGAAUGAUAUGAUUAAAGUAAAUACUAAAUACUACACAUCAUAUCUCUUUUCAUCUAUUCCAGGAGCAUAAAUAUCUUUCGGAAAUGUACAUUGAUAGGACAAAUAAGUUAAGCAGUAUGAGAUACUUCUUAUUUGUUCGAAAAAAAGAGAUGUUUCUUAUUUUUUCUACUUUUUGUGGUCUCCUGAUUUGUUUCGAUUCUUUUCAUCUUUUGUAUUUCUUUCAGCUUUGCAUGUGAACUGUUCAAUUGUUCCUGGACCUUUCUCUUUAAUCGAUGGGCAGGGUUCAUCUGUUGGUUGGCCUUUGAUGGGUAAUAAUCCUCCACAGUAUCUGCAAAGUCAGAGCUCUUGGGUUCACUCUGAAAAUUUUACCGCUACAGAUGUAGACGAAUGCUGUUGUGGGGCAAGCAUUAUCUCCAUACGGUGCACUUGAAUAUAUUGAUCAAGAAACAAGGGCAAUGGACGAUCCAUCUGAUUUUACAUGCAUUGUGCGUUCGAAACAUUAUACACUAUACUAAUAAUACCAAUCCCAGGUAAGAUUGGUAUUAGAGUUCCUGACACUAGCUUAUUAGAAUGCUCAUCUGUAUCACAUAUACAACUACUUCUUUGUUCCUCAAUAAGUAUACUUUUUUUUGUUGGAUAAGGCUGAAUAAGCAUAUGUGUUCUUCAUCCUUUUUUGGAUAUGCUUUUCAGUUUGGAGUUGGUAAUUAAGAAGUUAGCAGUUGAUUAAAUUAAUAACCAGGAAGUUGCCCUCUGCUUUACAGAUAAAAUCACUAUUUAUAAUGGUGCAGAUCUACUUCAAGUGUACACUAUUCUAGAGCAAGGAAAGUGUGCUGGAUGGUUCACCUUUGUAUGGAUAGAGAUACACAAAGAAGUUGUUUUUGAUAUGUUUAUGUCUUCUAAUACAGACAAUAUGUCUCUAAGCUUCCUUAGAGAAAGUUCUUUCUGAGUACGUUAAUCAGACAUUGUGCUUUCGGCAGGUAAUAGUUGCUGCUUGCCAUUGGCUGUGGUUUUGGCACCCCCUUGCGCUGAGAGCGGCAUCGCUCGCUCCUGCUGGGAGCAUUGCGCCAUCUACUGGUUUCUGGGCGUGGCAGAGUGGCGAUAUUUCUCUCAAUCAUGAUGCAGAUAGCGAAUCACCUUAAGCUCACUCAAGAAUUAGAGAUAAGAGAUGGCAACAUGCAAGAUCUUGUGGGGAGUUUGACCAAGAAGCUUCCGGCUGCUCUUUUGACUAUCUAGGCUAAAGAUGAUGCAGCAAGUGUUCUUUUCCUGUAUGAAUUGCUCUUUUGGCAAAGUUGCAAUGCUAUAAAGAAGAAUUUUACUUAUUAUAUUGUCGUAUUUACCUUUUGCCUCAACAAGUGUGACCAGCACCACGCGGCGUACAAAAGAUGAAAAAGAUGAGGAAAUAUCUGAAAUUAGAAACAUAGUAUAUCAAGAGAUAGGUUUCUGUUUGUGACAACAUGAACAUCCUGUUUUUCUACUUCAGGUACAUGUACAUUCUAUGACCUCAAGUGUAAGAUACACAUAUGUUACUUUUAAUUAUUUGCCUUCUCUCUGUUCUAAUAAAUUGUUUUUUUCUAAAACACUUGCACUUCGACCAGCUGAGGCGAUUACCAUUAGUGUACUGUUUGUUCCAAUGCGAAUGUUUUUUCUUGGCACGAGAAGUAUGUAUGUUCUGAUUCUGUGUGGAAUCUAUGGCUUUCUUAAUUAAUCAUCUUCUCUGUAUAUUGAUGCUCUGUCUAUUUUUUACAACACUUGCGAUUUGAUCAGUCGAAGGGCUACUGUUAGUGCUUCACUUAAAUAAUAUGUACCACUUUUGUGUAUGGAAAGGAGUCAGGUACUAGCGGAUAAUGGAGGAAACUAGGGAAGCUAUGGUCAGGAAGUAAGCUUAUGCAUGAGUGGGAGCUCCCAACAAAGCAUGCCCUACGUUUUGGGCAUGCAAUCUGGAAGGAGCACUGAAAAAAGACUGAUAAAGAUGAUAAACCCUGGUGCUUGGGAAAUGGCGUUUCUUUGUGCGAGGUCCACUCUCUGUUGAAAGAAUGAAGUUUGUUGGUCCGUUUUAUGCUCAAGUUUUUCAUGCCCAGAAAGUUUACGUGCCUUGCUCUGAAGUAUUGUACUGUUCUAUCUGUGUUUGCUUAUCUAAUUGCCGUUGCACUGCUCUAUUUUAUGUACUCGAUUUGGAUGGAAAAGCCAUAUAGUCUGAAGCAGUCCAUAA
This is an RNA transcript of Lolium rigidum, 4233 nucleotides long. RefSeq lists it as uncharacterized. Lineage: Eukaryota; Viridiplantae; Streptophyta; Magnoliopsida; Poales; Poaceae. The record is from RefSeq and is a predicted model, not a curated record. The transcript has 7 exons.